AUUGAACGCUGGCGGCAGGCCUAACACAUGCAAGUCGAGCGGAGCGGCGGACGGGUGAGUAAUGCCUAGGAAUCUGCCUGGUAGUGGGGGAUAACGUCCGGAAACGGGCGCUAAUACCGCAUCCUAUCAGCUGAGCCUAGGGCGGAUUAGCUAGUUGGGGGGGUAAAGGCCUACCAAGGCGACGAUCCGUAACUGGUCUGAGAGGAUGAUCAGUCAAGCUGGAACUGAGACACGUGCCAGACCCCAACGGGAGGCAGAAGUGGGAAAAAUUAGACAAGGGGCGAAAGCCUGAGCCAGCCUUGCCGGGGGUGUGAAGAAGGUCUGAGGAUGGUAAAGAACUUUAAGUAGGGAGGCGUUACCAACAGAAUAAGCACCGGCAAACUGCGUGCAAGCAGCGCGGUAAUUC
This 406-nucleotide ribosomal RNA is filed under the name uncultured bacterium. RNAcentral describes it as "partial 16S ribosomal RNA". It matches the Rfam family "Bacterial small subunit ribosomal RNA", at positions 29 to 526 of the family's 1533-position model. The record is from RNAcentral.